AUUUAACAAAAAAUUCUGUAUAAAUGAAAUACAUUAAAUAUCUAUUUUUUAACAGCUAUUAAAUGACAAUUUUAACAAAACUAAAUGUAAAAAAGUAUUCUUUAUUGACAAAAGUAGCCUCAUUUUCUCUAAUUUUACAAAAAUUGCUUUUGUUAUGGUGAUAUAUCACUGUCAAAUACAUAAAAAUACUGUUAAUAAUACAUUUAAAAAUGUAUAAUUGCAAGAAAAUAUAUGACUAAAGAAAGAAAUAUUUUGUCAUUUUGCAUAAUUUAACCACUACUUUACAUACAUAAACUGAAAAAACACAGGUACUGACUAUCCUAGAGACAGUUAAAAACUAAAUUUAAUCAGAUUUUGACUCACUUUAUCACUACAUUUGUAUUAAUUAAAGUCUGUCCACAGGAUAUUUUUUUAACUAAAGCUCCUCAGUGGAUCGACAGAGGUACAAUUUCUACAUUUUACAAGCAUUUUAACAUUGAGGAAUUUUUUUAGUGGAGUUAGCCUGUGAUUCUUUAGAUUAAAUUAAGUAUUUUUUAAGGUUACUGCUGUGUAAUUUAACUGAUAGACUUAAAUGCCAUUCAUUUUUCUCUCCAUUCUAAAGAAUACUGACAGCUUAAAGGACUUGUUUGGACUAGUUUCCCGCCCUAGUUUGAACAAGCUGGAUGUAUUUUGUUGUUCGCAUGUUACAUGUUUCCGCAGGGUUUGCUGAGGAGCAUUUUACAAACCAGAAUCUACCAAACACACGUAUGCAGAACUUGAUCGGCACAGUCUUCGCUGAUGACUUUAUAUCAUCAGAAGACAUUUGAGUCGGAAAAGACUUCUGAUGAACUUGCUGAGAUUCUCUUGAUUCCUUAAAGGAUCAACAUAGUGUCCACACAAGUCGAACCACUGUGCUUCGUGCACUUCCUGUGCUGCAGAGAAGACACUUCAAGAUUCUUCAAAACAUGUGGGAUAAAUUACUUUAUUCACACAUUUCUAAAUCAUUUAGCCAUUUUUUCAACUUAAAGGAAUACCUCACCCAAAAAUGUAAAUUCUCUCAACAUUUACUCAACCUCGUGCCAUUUCAGACUUUCACCUGCAGAUCACAAACACAUAUUUAUAAGAGUAUUUCAGCUCUGUAAGGCCAUACAAUGCAAGUGAAUGGGCGUCAGAACUUUGAACUCCAAAAAGCAGUUAAAAACAGCAUAAAAGUAAUCCAUAAGACUCCAGUGGUUAAAUCCAUGUCUUCAGAAGUGAUAUAAUUAGUGUGGGUGAGAAACAGAUCAAUUAUUUAAGUCCUUUAUUACUAUAAAUCUCCACCUUCAAAGUUCUGGUCACCAUUCACUUGCAUUGUAUGGAUUUACAGAGCUGAAAUAUUCUUCUAAAAUCUUUGUUUGUGUUCAGCAGAACAAAGAAAGUCAUACACAUCUGGGAUGGCAUGAGGGUGAGUAAAUGUUGAGAAAAUUUUCAUUUUUGGGGGAACUAUCCUUUUAAAGAAGAUGAUUUAUAAAAAAACAAAAAAAACAAACAAACAAACAAACAAACAAAGCUUUUGUCUUCCAUGGAAGAAAUACAGUCAUAUAGGUCUGGAACAAGUGAGUAAAUAAUGACAUAAUUUUUGUGUGAAAUAUUCGUUUAUGUAGGUGUGUAUUUUGAAACAGAUUUUAAUAAACUGUUCUUUAAUUUUGCCACUUUUUUCUAUUUCUGCAUUUCAGGGCUGAAGAUUCAGAAGAGCCACAUGUUGGAUAUUCACCAGUUGCCCUGUUAACAGCAGUCAGAGAACUCACAGAUGCUGCAAUUUACUACAAUCUGGUCAAACAUUUCAUUGUUCUUGAAAGCGAAGUCAUCACACACCUGCCCAGGCUUUUCAGAUUUCUUUUUACGUUUGGACUGAUUUAUGCACUGGAUCUGAGUUACCCAAAAUAGUUUUAAAGACAGGUGGCUUUAUAAGGUUUUAACGUUGAAGGUUUUAACUAAUGCAGCUGUAGACAAUUUAUCCUGUUGCUGUCAAUAUAUAUAUUUUUUUCAGUGUUGUGCCUCAUGUUUUGUUAAUAACUGUACCUUGUCUUUUUAUAUUAAAUGUGUUUACUACCUGCAGUUUGCUUAUUUAUUUUCUUUUUUUAUGUUUAAGUUGCAAAAAUGUCACAUUUAAGUUAAGGAAAUUAAAAAUAAAAAUAAAAAAAAAGUUGCAAAACAUUUUUUGAAGUUAAUACAAAGCAUAUUCAUGAUUUCAAAAACAUAUAUUUUUAAGUUGUAUAAAUAUAUUAAUUAAGUUUGCAGAACUUUAUAUUUUGAGUUGUGAUUAAUUAAAAUAAACAUUAGUUACUGCAUAUUUUGAUAGGACCAAAGUCAUUUCUUUUAAUUUAUAGUUUCUGAGAAAAACAAGUUAUGCAUACUUGAGACUUUGAUACUUGUAAAAGUAAAGGCAAUCAGUUUUUUAAGUUAGUAGAACUUAUACAGGCUUAUAGAGUUUUCGAUUGAGCUUAAAUUUAUUGAACCUGUAUUCCCUUAAGCUUUGAAUGUGGUAUGUACAACAGACUUCAGAACUUUUUUCCAAUAAAUGCAUUAGUUUCAUACCGUGUGCUGCCUCUGUAAUCUCGUUUGACAGUCACCGAAAAAUGAGAAAAUAGAAUUGACAUUUAUAACUGGCAUUAUACCUAGUUCUAGUAACUUGACCUAAUCGACUUCAUCUAACAUGAUAUAAACAUGUAGGCUAAACAAGGCAAUAAGGCUUAAAUAUAGGAGAACAUAACUGAUUCAAGUUAAAUGAAAACCAUUCAUUCAUAUUAAACGAACACCCUUCAUUCAAGUUAAACGAACACCAUUCAUUCAUUUUAAACGAACACCAUUCAUUCAAGUUAGUUUUACAUGGUCUGUUUUAUUGCAUUUUGUUAAAAGAACUUGUUUCAAUCACGUGGAACCACUGCAUGUGUGCGUAUGUGUGUUUGAUAUAAUUUUUUAAUUCAUAUUAUGUAAAGGCAAAAAGGCCAUAGAAUUUUUUUUCAGGGGCGGAAAACAAAAGCUGUUCCCAGAACUAAAACAUUUUAGAGAUUGGUUUGUCAGCUUUAAAAAAUUAUGAACCAGUGAAAAAAGCAACAAAAGUGUUGUGUGAAAAAUAUGCUUAAGCAUUUAAAGCCGUUGCUAAUGAGUUCUUGUAAUAUGCUGAACAAAUAAUUUGUAUGUUGUUUUGUAUGUUGUUUAUGUAAAUAAUAAUAAAUAAAUAAAGAAUCAAUGAGUCGUGGUGUAUUUUUUUAAUUAGUAUUGUGAACUAUUUUCCAAAAUGUUGCCACAGGCAUAAAGUUUUAAUUCUACAGCAUAACCUUUAUGUAAAGAUUUUUUGGGGGGGCAACUGCUGCAACAAUUUCACUAUUUCAGUGAUUUUAAAGGAUCAUGCAGACAAAUCUCAUCCUGCUUCAAUAAGAUAAUUAGUUUAUAUUUUUUUAAAUGAAGAAUGACACAAUGCAAAAGUACAGUUAAUCUACAUUUAGAGAAAGAAAAUGCAUUUAUUUUGACAGUUUAUUAAUGUAUUUGAAUAAUUGUUUUUUUAUUGUUAACAGAUUUUUUUGCAACACUUCUGACAAUUAGUUUAAACCUGGGCUUUCGCAAAGUAAAAUUACAUGUUUUUAUUUUGUGUUUUAUAUAUAAAUGGUCUUAGAUUUACAGUAUUUUUUGUAAUAACAAUAGUAAUUAUCUGUACUUAAGCUUUUCUUUAUCAUUCUUUUAAAGAUAAUCAUUCUGUGUUUUAGAGGUGUAUGACUCUAUUCUAACAAUAUAUGUUAAAAGUAAAAGAUUUCAUGGAAUUAUAGGGAGAUUUCUUGUAGAAUUACAGUAAUAGACGUUAAAUAUGGUAAAGCAAAUUACUGUUUGUUUGUUUUUUACAGUUUAUCUAUGUUUUUAAUCUGACAGUACUUUUCUGUUUUUCAACAGACAUU
Molecule: long non-coding RNA, 3911 nt
Organism: Myxocyprinus asiaticus (Chinese sucker)
Lineage: Eukaryota; Metazoa; Chordata; Actinopteri; Cypriniformes; Catostomidae
Exons: 3
Source: RefSeq, a predicted model, not a curated record